Daucus carota subsp. sativus is the source of this 83-nucleotide non-coding RNA. NCBI's taxonomy places the organism in Eukaryota, Viridiplantae, Streptophyta, Magnoliopsida, Apiales, Apiaceae. The record is from Rfam.
GAAGGAAAUGAGGAGUUUAGUUCUUAUUGACUAGAUUGCCGAAAUGAUGGCAACAAUGAUGUAUUAGCUCUAUCUGAUCCUUC